UACAGAGGUCCCAAGCGUUGUUCGGAUUUACUGGGCGUAAAGGGCGCGUAGGCGGCCUUCUAAGUCGAACGUGAAAUCCCCGGGCUCAACCCGGGAACUGCGUCCGAUACUGGAAGGCUUGAAUCCGGGAGAGGGAUGUGGAAUUCCAGGUGUAGCGGUGAAAUGCGUAGAUAUCUGGAGGAACACCGGUGGCGAAGGCGACAUCCUGGACCGGUAUUGACGCUGAGGCGCGAAAGCCAGGGGAGCAAACGGG
Molecule: ribosomal RNA, 253 nt
Filed under: uncultured bacterium
Lineage: Bacteria
Description: partial 16S ribosomal RNA
Rfam family: Bacterial small subunit ribosomal RNA
Source: RNAcentral